AUGGCUUCACGUUUGUGUUGUUAUCGGUGUUGCGUAUAGAGGCGUCGUUCGUUUUCGUGCGUUUGGUCUAAGUUUCGCUGGAAUGCGGCCACAUAGAUGGUUUUAUGCCAGUCUGAUUGAAUCGUACGUUGACGAGUGUCGUUUCUUGGAGUCGGGUUGUUUGGAAUCGCAGCCCAAAGUGGAUGGUAAACUUCAUCUAAGGCUAAAUACGACCACGAAACCAAUAGCGAACAAGUACCGUGAGGGAAAGUUGAAAAGUACUUUGAAAAGAGAGUGCAAGAGAACGUGAAAUCGAUAUAAUGGAAGCGAAUGAAGUCGACGUAUCUAACACGUAUUCAGUCGUUCGAAUUGAGGCAAUCGUCCGAGAUCGUUACAUUCCGCAAGGUUGUCGGUUUUGAUGUUGUUGUUUUGUUCGGCGACGCAUUUGCGUGUAGAGUGCGACGGGUCGGCUGGUGCCGUUGGUGGAAGCCGUCGGAGAGGGCGUGCGAUUUAACGAUCGAACGUAACCUACGACUAUUUGGCGGAGACCUGAUUGGUGCUAGUUGAUUUGUUUUCGUUUUGAAUGCUGGUGAAUUCGGUUUUGUUUUGGGUGUUCGUUGCGGCUAGGCGUUGAACGCAUGCGUACGGCGUUUAGUUGUGCGGACAUUCUGAAUGAAACAACAGUCAUUCAACCGGUCGUAUAGUCGGUCACUCAUUCGACCCGUCUUGAAACACGGACCAAGGAGUUUAUAGUACACGCAAGUCAUUGAGUGUUUGCAAAGCUCAAAGGCGUAAUGAAAGUGAAAUCGUUUCAACGAUUCGAACGUGAUCGGUUAGUUUCAUUUA
Molecule: ribosomal RNA, 825 nt
Filed under: Ektaphelenchus apophysatus
Lineage: Eukaryota; Metazoa; Nematoda; Chromadorea; Rhabditida; Aphelenchoididae
Description: partial large subunit ribosomal RNA
Rfam family: Eukaryotic large subunit ribosomal RNA
Source: RNAcentral